CAUAUUUUAAACACUAAUUAAAAUAACAGUCUUGACAUUUGUAAACUGUAAACAAAAUAUGAAAGUUGAGAUAAAUAGAAAUAGUUAUACCUUAGAUCUAUUCUCUACAUUGUCAUCAAUAAGAAAUUAUUCAUGAGACACUUGCUGUAGCGCAGUGGGUUAAGCGCAGGUGGCGCAAAGCACAAGGACCGGCAUAAGGAUCCCGGUUCGAACCCGGCUCCCCACCUGCAGGGGAGUCGCUUCACAGGCGCUGAAGCAGGUCUGCAGGUGUCUGUCUUUCUCUCCCCUCUCUGUCUUCCCCUCCUCUCUCCAUUUCUCUCUGUCCUAUCCAACAACAACAACAAUAAUAACUACAACAAUAAAACAACAAGGGCAACAAAAGGGAAUAAAUAAAU
Erinaceus europaeus (western European hedgehog) is the source of this 395-nucleotide long non-coding RNA. RefSeq lists it as uncharacterized. NCBI's taxonomy places the organism in Eukaryota, Metazoa, Chordata, Mammalia, Eulipotyphla, Erinaceidae. The transcript has 2 exons. The record is from RefSeq and is a predicted model, not a curated record.